AGGGUGUUGCUCUGAGCUGCACCACAGUAAAAUGGAUGAUCGCAUUGCUAAGGGUUUUGCUCUAAACUCCUUACUCAACGAGCUGUUAGAAGAAAAGAUUUCUACUCGGAGGAAAAAUCAUUGGAUACUUGGCCCUGAGGAUCUCAAUGAUACUCUUGUUUGUGAUUUUGAGAUCGAAGAAACAGCCUGAGCUUUUGUGUUAAUGCCUACAGGGUUGUGCUUUCACCUGUGAAUAAACAUUGCAGGUGAAAUUGUGGCUUUUAAAAA
Long non-coding RNA from Cyprinus carpio (common carp), 267 nucleotides. RefSeq lists it as uncharacterized. NCBI's taxonomy places the organism in Eukaryota, Metazoa, Chordata, Actinopteri, Cypriniformes, Cyprinidae. The transcript is spliced from 3 exons. The record is from RefSeq and is a predicted model, not a curated record.